Molecule: non-coding RNA, 74 nt
Organism: Podarcis muralis (Common wall lizard)
Lineage: Eukaryota; Metazoa; Chordata; Lepidosauria; Squamata; Lacertidae
Source: the annotation of a RefSeq genome assembly
GACCUUAUAGCUCAGGCGGUAAAGCAUGAGACUCUUAAUCUCAAGGUCAUGGGUUCAAGCCCCACUUGGGGUGA